GACGAACCGUGCGAACGCUGUUCGGAAUCACUGGGCUUAAAGGGCGCGUAGGCGGGCGGUCAAGUCGGUGGUGAAAUCCUUCAGCUCAACUGGAGAAUGGCCGCCGAUACUGACUGCCUCGAGGGAGGUAGGGGCAUGUGGAACUCAGGGUGGAGCGGUGAAAUGCGUAGAUAUCCUGAGGAACGCCGGUGGCGAAAGCGACGUGCUGGACCUCUUCUGACGCUGAGGCGCGAAAGCCAGGGGAGCAAACGGG
Molecule: ribosomal RNA, 253 nt
Filed under: uncultured bacterium
Lineage: Bacteria
Description: partial 16S ribosomal RNA
Rfam family: Bacterial small subunit ribosomal RNA
Source: RNAcentral